AAGUCGUAACAAGGUUUCCGUAGGUGAACCUGCGGAAGGAUCAUUACCUUUCAGUACAGAAGCGUUGUGUUGGUUGAGUUGUGCCGGUUGAGUCUCGCUGAGAGGUGGGACUCCUGGUGGCAACUCCCUUCAUAAUUCUCCCUGUCUAUCAUCCUUGUCUUUUGCGUACUAUUGUUUCCUCGGUGGGCUUGCCUGCCGGUUGGACAACCUUAUAACCUAUUUAAUUUUCAAUCAGCGUCUGAAAUAAUAUAAUAAUUACAACUUUCAACAACGGAUCUCUUGGUUCUG
RNAcentral lists this unclassified non-coding RNA (288 nucleotides) under Paraphoma fimeti. RNAcentral describes it as "partial internal transcribed spacer region". The stretch from base 1 to 46 matches the Rfam family "Eukaryotic small subunit ribosomal RNA", at positions 1786 to 1831 of the family's 1831-position model. Lineage: Eukaryota; Fungi; Ascomycota; Dothideomycetes; Pleosporales; Phaeosphaeriaceae. The record is from RNAcentral.